Molecule: non-coding RNA, 797 nt
Organism: Taeniopygia guttata (zebra finch)
Lineage: Eukaryota; Metazoa; Chordata; Aves; Passeriformes; Estrildidae
Source: RefSeq, a predicted model, not a curated record
UGUUGAUGCACUGCACCUGUGUGCCCUCUGUUCCCUUUUUGGUUGGUCAGUGCCCCUGGGCACUCCCUGGCUCAUUGCUGUCAGUGCUGCUCACCUGCUUCUCACAGCUGUGCCCACUGGGGAUGAGGUCCAGCCACAGCCCCACCCCAAUUACCACAAACUAUGUGCCUACAACUGCUAUCCUGCCAAAAUCCUGCCAAGUUCCCAUAUUACUUUGCUCCUCAUGCUCUCAGUAUUUUUUUUUUUCCUUUCAAUACCCUUUUACCACAUUGUUUUGGCCUUUAGGAUGCUCUUCAGUCAUAACAGAAUUCAAGGGUUUUGUGACUUUUAACAAAGUGAAAAUUUGGACCGAGAACAUUUGCACACAAAAGGAUCUGUUCUACAGCAUUAUGGAUUAAGAGCUUUCUUGUAACACUUGUCGACUGUCCAAACCAAGAUGAACAAUCUUAUUUGCUACCAAACAACUAUCUUUCUGGAACCCAAUAUUGUAACCAUGAACACACAUGGGGAAAAGCCUAAACUCCAGUGUUACCUCAAUUACUUGUGGUUAUUAAUCACAGAUCAGCUUUUGAGCUUCAGCCUCACCCAGAGCUACAAACAAGUUGUCUUGGUUUGAAACAGUUUAAAGAGAUACCUCAAGAGGAGAGGAAAUGGUAAUGUUACAAACCUGCAGCCUAUAUGAAGAAGUUUCCAUGGCCUAGAGACCAUAUACAAGAUAAUAUUUUGGUUAACUGAAAGAGCUCAUUAUUUUUUGUUUUCCUAUCCAUAAACUCCCUGAUCUCUAGUAAAUUAUGAAG